UACAGAGGUCUCAAGCGUUGUUCGGAUUCAUUGGGCGUAAAGGGUGCGUAGGUGGCGCGGUAAGUCGGGUGUGAAAUUUCGGAGCUUAACUCCGAAACUGCAUUCGAUACUGCCGUGCUUGAGGACUGGAGAGGAGACUGGAAUUUACGGUGUAGCAGUGAAAUGCGUAGAUAUCGAGAGGAACACCAGUGGCGAAGGCGAGUCCCUGGACAAAACCUGACACUGAGGCACGAAAGCUAGGGGAGCAAACAGG
RNAcentral lists this ribosomal RNA (253 nucleotides) under uncultured bacterium. Its description in RNAcentral is "partial 16S ribosomal RNA". It matches the Rfam family "Bacterial small subunit ribosomal RNA", at positions 524 to 776 of the family's 1533-position model. The record is from RNAcentral.